GACGAACGCUGGCGGCGGGCUUAACACAUGCAAGUCGAACGGAAAGGCCCUGCUUUUUUGGUGUUCUCGAGUGGCGAACGGGUGAGUAACACGUGAGUAACCUGCCCUUGACUUUGGGAUAACUUCAGGAAACUGGGGCUAAUACCGGAUAGGAGCUCCUGCUGCAUGGUGGGGGUUGGAAAUUUUCGGCGGUUGGGGAUGGACUCGCGGCUGAUCAGCUUGUUGGUUGGGUAGUGGCUUACCAAGGCUUUGACGGGUAGCCGGCCUGAGAGGGUGACCGGCCACAUUGGGACUACGAUACGGACCAGACUCCAACGGGAGGCAGCAGUGGGGAAUAUUGCACAAUGGGAGGAAGCCUGAUGAAGAAACGCCGCGUGCGGGAUGCCGGCCUUCGGGUUGUAAACAGCUUUCGCCUGUGACGACGCGUGACUGACGGUAAUGGGUAAAGAAGCACCGGCUAACUACGUG
RNAcentral lists this ribosomal RNA (468 nucleotides) under uncultured bacterium. Its description in RNAcentral is "partial 16S ribosomal RNA". It matches the Rfam family "Bacterial small subunit ribosomal RNA", at positions 28 to 507 of the family's 1533-position model. The record is from RNAcentral.